This 292-nucleotide ribosomal RNA is filed under the name uncultured bacterium. RNAcentral's name for it is "partial 16S ribosomal RNA". It matches the Rfam family "Bacterial small subunit ribosomal RNA", at positions 505 to 796 of the family's 1533-position model. The record is from RNAcentral.
GUGCCAGCCGCCGCGGUAACACGUAGGAGACAAGCGUUAUCCGGAUUUACUGGGUGUAAAGCGCGUGCAGGCGGUCUGGUAAGUUGGAUGUGAAAGCUCCUGGCUUAACUGGGAGAGGUCGUUCAAUACUGCUGGACUAGAGGAUGGCAGAGGGGAGUGGAAUUCCGAGUGUAGCGGUAAAAUGCAUAGAUAUUCGGAAGAACACCAGUGGCGAAGGCGGCUCUCUGGGCCAUUUCUGACGCUCAGACGCGAAAGCUAGGGUAGCAAACGGGAUUAGAAACCCCCGUAGUCC